Molecule: non-coding RNA, 73 nt
Organism: Archocentrus centrarchus (flier cichlid)
Lineage: Eukaryota; Metazoa; Chordata; Actinopteri; Cichliformes; Cichlidae
Source: the annotation of a RefSeq genome assembly
GCCCAGCUAGCUCAGUUGACAGAGCAUGAGACUCUUAAUCUCAAGGUCAUGGGUUCAAGCCCCAUGUUGGGUG